This is a long non-coding RNA of Strigops habroptila (Kakapo), 1842 nucleotides long. RefSeq lists it as uncharacterized. NCBI's taxonomy places the organism in Eukaryota, Metazoa, Chordata, Aves, Psittaciformes, Psittacidae. The transcript is spliced from 5 exons. The record is from RefSeq and is a predicted model, not a curated record.
CCAACGCCAAAGAGCUUACUAUUUAUCUCAACCUGACAAAGGAUGACUAGGGUAAGAGGCAGGGAUGAAGCAGUAUUUUUGAUUUAUUCAGAAGUUUAUGUAGAAAUUGGGUUUUCCAAAUGUCAUAAACACAUGAGCACAUUCAAGGAUCCUCUGGAAUAGAAGAUGUUUUGAGGCUUUAAAUAUUUCACUUGUCCUUUCAUUCAGGUAAUAUACCAUGGCACCAUGUGAAUGUACCAUGAUACUCCUUUUCUUCUUUUAAUAGAUGUCAUAACACAGAGAGAAAUAUUAGACUCAAGCAAGCCCUAUGGUUUUGAUUGUGGUUAGUCUGACGGUUCUGGUUUGGUUUAAGUGGAAGCUGAUGAACAAUGGUUUAAAAGGAGAAAAGGAAAACAGCUCCAGCACUGAGAACGUGGCCAAGCAUCACCUCACAGCCUUAUGUGAUCACUGCAUCCCUACUCCUUGGCAGACUUAUUUUUUGAAAGCACAACCUUGCAGAGCAGAGAUCUCCACUGUUGUCUGAACAGACACACGGACACCAGAUCACCAAGAAGGCAACCAAAAAUUUUCAAAAGAAAUGAAGACAAAUGCUGUGCAAGAGCUCCUUAACACUGACAUGAAAGCUGCCAGAGAGACAAACUAUCUUGAAAUCAUAAAAUAACUUUUCUUAUCAGACACCACCGCACAGAGCCUGUUUGAAUUUUGUAUGGCUGUAAUGCUGACAGUUUCCACAACUGAUCAUCUGUGGAUGCAACUCUCAGAUUUCAUCAGAAGGACCUUUCUGACUGAGCCUCUGCAUUCUGUGAAGUGAGAGACACAGUGCACCUAGAUAUGCCCUUCCUCAGGAGUGUUCUUGGGACAACGCCGAAUAACUUCAGUCAGCCCUGCCAUACCCUGAAGAUCCUGACUCCCUUUUUUUCAGUCCAAGCGGCCAGUCCACCCUUUAUGCCCCAGCAGGCAGUGAACUGGAGCAGCUAUAAAAGUGUUUUACUCCUUGUCAUGGAUUAGCCCAGUCCCCAGCUGAAAGAAAGCACGUCAACAUCGGUUAGAAGCAGCUUUCUAAUUUCAUGAAUCAUACCAGCACAGGUCAGAGAAAACUAAGGCCCUCCUAAUUUUCAGGGAGUUAGAUUUAAUUUUUUAGAUAGAUAGAUAGAUAGAUACACAUUAUAGGUAAACUCACUGCUGCAUCUGCUUUUGGGUCAAAACCUAGCGGGUGACCAAUGCAGCCUAUGGAGGAAAUAGGGACUGUGUCCUGUGACUGAGAACAUGAAGGGCUCUAUGGACAGGUGUAGCAGCUGGGAUCUAGCCGGGACACCCAUUAACACCUGCUGCCACGGCAAGUGCUGUUUGGUCUCUAAUGACUGUAAGUGGCCAAAGGCUGUUGCAGUCACACAUCCCCUCUGGACAGGUAUCACCUCCAGCCCCUUCAGUGCCUAUGAACAGUGUGUGGUAGAGCCCUAUUCAGUGGAGACAGGCACAGAGAUUACAGUGGCACCUGCUACAUCACUGUGAACGUAUUUCCUGCAAGACCUUUAUUUUCGCAGCCGUGUACUUAUCAAGCAACUUAGUUUUUGAAAGCUGGCGGGGUGGUACAGCUGGUAAAUUCUGCACGAUGUGGUGAUGUGGAAAGUGUUCUGCAGAGAAGCUACAAAAAGCUUGAAAAAGUAAACGUGUUAUUGCCAAUCUGUUUUCUGCCUGGAUGACAUCAGUGGAAGUUAUGCCUAAAUACACUGGACAGCCUAUGCCCUUGUAACUGCUUUCCUGCACAGAUAUGUUUAAUUUUCCAAUCUUGUAUUUCUGUAAGAUGGUGUGAAGCCAUGAAGCAUAAAACCUACUGCUUGA